RNAcentral lists this long non-coding RNA (571 nucleotides) under Phoenix dactylifera (date palm). RNAcentral describes it as "long non-coding RNA (PDAC_LNC012976)". The record is from RNAcentral. Lineage: Eukaryota; Viridiplantae; Streptophyta; Magnoliopsida; Arecales; Arecaceae.
AUGAUUCUCUCCUCCGUUUUUGCGAGCCCUAAACCCCUUUUGGACUCUCUUUCGAUUCCCCUCCCAUCUUUCUCUGCUUCACUCCUCUCCGAUUCUCGAAUCUAAGGAUCUCCCUUUCUCAUCAGCGUCUCUAUGGAGGACUAGGACGAUCUCCCUCCUUUCUCUUCUUCCGAUGGUUCAUACCAAUCCGUUAUCUUUUUUUUUUAUCCGAUGGUUCAUACCAGUCCAUGAUCCCGAGGUCCAUGUUGAUCUUUUUCCUGGUUCUUGCUGGAUUUUCUUUUGUAUCAUAGCAUGUGGUGCCAUCAUGAUUUUUUUUCCUGACUAAUUCCGGUGCAUUAAAGUUCCUGGUUUUCUACUUGUUUAAUAAUUUUUUCUUGCUGGUGACUUCAGGUCAAUUAGGAUUCUUGGUAUUUCUUUUUUCUUUUCGUUUCUUUUUUGAGAAAUGGAACCUUUAAAUGACAUUUAGGGUUAUCUUGAUUAAUUUUCGUAGUUUAUAGUAUCUAUUUCGAUAUUUCUUCUGAUUAGUUACGGGUUAUUGGCAUUCCUGGUUUAAUAUCCCUGACUUUUUUUU